Molecule: transfer RNA, 70 nt
Filed under: Campanulotes compar (small pigeon louse)
Lineage: Eukaryota; Metazoa; Arthropoda; Insecta; Psocodea; Philopteridae
Description: tRNA-Trp
Source: RNAcentral
GGGGUAAUAAGAUUAUGGAAUUUAAACGUUUGCAGUUCAAUUGCAAGAAAGUCUUUGUGGACUUAUCCCA